RNAcentral lists this long non-coding RNA (1432 nucleotides) under Sus scrofa (pig). RNAcentral describes it as "lncRNA (ENSSSCG00070002868.1)". The record is from RNAcentral. Lineage: Eukaryota; Metazoa; Chordata; Mammalia; Artiodactyla; Suidae.
UUUUCUCUUUAAGGUGGCACCCACAGCAUUUGGGAAGUUCAGGUCCAGUGACUGAAUCUGAGCCGCAGCUAUAACCGACACCACUGCUGGGGCAACGCCACAUCCUUGAACUCAUUGUGUCCAGCCAGAGCUCAAACCCGCACCUCCACUGCAACACGAGCCACUGAAGUGAGGUUCCUAACCCACCGUACCACAGUGGGAACUCCUGAAAUAACAUGACUUCAUUUUAUUAGAUAUGUCUUCUGAGUCAGAAACUCCAUGCCUGGCAUUUGUCCUCUUCUUUUUACUAUCUGUUGUGGUUUCCUUAACAUUUACAUGACUCUUUGUAAAUUCACUUUUCAGGAGAACUUCAGGAUGAAAACGCCAGUCUUCGGAAAACAAAUGGUAACAUUUCUGAUAUCCCAUCACCCCAGUGCUCUUGAGCCCCUCUGAAGCGACUGGUUCAGCCUUUCCUCUUGUCUGCCGUUUCAUCUGUUUCGCUUGUGUCGGCAUGCCUUUCUCUUGCACGUCCUGUCUACGAGCUCCACCUCAAUGUUUUGCGUGGGACUUGUCCCACGUUCCUUCUGUCCAUUUCUGUUUGCCUACCUCCUCUGCUCUGCCAUUCCUGCUCUUUGCAAUGCAUGCCAUGCCCUCCCGCUAAGGACUGGCUUUGCUUCGGUCUUUCAGGCACUUGCCACAGUUUCAUGAAGUUGGUGAGAUGCAAAGCAUUACGCAGAUAGGGAGAUGGUUUCUCUUCCACGUGUGUUUCUCAACAACAUCCAAACACAGGGGCUCUGUCGGGACUUCCAAGUCAGAGGGGCCAUUCCUGCACAAGGGAUAGCUCUUCAAAGACUUAAGAGAUGGGAGAUGGCCCCAAAACGGCUCAGUUAAUGCCCUCUGCCCACUGCCCUUUCAAAGCCUAAGUAGUAUAUGCUAUCAUCCAUCGGUCAAGAGUGUGCCAGGGCGCCCCUCUUCCACUGGCCUUACCCCUGGGAACCAAGUAUUCCCAGGUAUGAACAUGUUACUUCAGUUUGCCUGCUGUUCUAAACAAAAGCCAGGCCUACCGGUUGUGUCAUUUUGUGUGUCUCAGAGUUCUGAAAUGUCAGUUCUCCCUGACAUAGGCUGUUGAAAAUUUAGAGCAAUCUUCAGUUGCACGUGUAACACAUCUUUUCGGUUCCUUUUGGGUUACUCGCUUUUAGAAUGAUUAGCUUUCCUCCCCCGAAGUUAGGUGAGAUGGCAUUAUUAGCCUUUUUUGUUUUGUAAGGGCCACACCCACCGGCACAGGGACAUUCCCAGGCUAGGGGCUGAAUGGGAGCUGUAGCCGCCGGCCUACACCACAGAAGCAGCAAGGCCGGUACCAGCCACCCCUGCGAACCACACACCACAGCCCAUGGCCACGCCAGAGCCUUAACCUCCUGAGCGAGGGCCGGGAUGGAACCUGUGUCCUCCUGGA